Molecule: long non-coding RNA, 1028 nt
Filed under: Sorghum bicolor (sorghum)
Lineage: Eukaryota; Viridiplantae; Streptophyta; Magnoliopsida; Poales; Poaceae
Description: long non-coding RNA (SBIC_LNC009722)
Source: RNAcentral
GGCUAAGGAGAAAUUUAUAUCUAUAUACUCUUCUAAAGCUAAACUCCAUUAGAUGUUUUAUCUCUUCAUACAGGUGUCCAUAUCAUCAUUAUCCUCCACUAAGUAUCCCACUAACUUGCAAUCCUUUCAUGCAAGCUAUCUGUGUCAUCCUUUAUUAAUACAAAAAAAUAUCCAUCUCAUCUCUAUUAUAUGCAAUACUUUUAGUCUUUAAUGUAUUAACAUAAAGUCAUCUACAUAUGCUGUUUGUUUCAUCACCUAUUAUUCUAUAAUAAGAUCAAAUAUUCUAUUGAUGUUUCUUUUAUUAGCUUACUAAUUUUUUUUGUAAAUUUGAUACAAUAAAAUAACAUGCAAGUGAAAUUCAUAUAUCUACACAAUAUAUAGAAUACCAUAUAGUAAUACUAUAUAUGAAACCGAUUUAUUUUUAGAAAAAUCCUACGACAAUGCGCGAGACAUGCUUCUAGUAAAUAUGGUUGUCAACUCUUGUAACCGUCCAUUAGUAUAGAAGGAAUAAGUUUGGUUGGGGGUAAGGCAUAUGUUGGGACCCUAUUUGAGUGUUUACUAUCCAAUUACAACGCUUAUGAAUUUGAUUGAGAAUGUUUUGUAACCCUAUAGACUCUUGUAAAUAUAAGCUCUACCAGUGAAAAGAAAAAAAAAACCUUCACCUCCAGGAUAAAAGCGGGGAGGAGGAAUGUGGAGAGAACCCCCUUCAAGCAUGUGUCCCUCUCGCUCUCUCCACUCCACCCUCUCAGAUGUUUGGUCAUAGAUCAACAAGCAUGGUCUCUCACUGACGUGGAGCCAUGCCAUCACUACGCCACCUAGGAUUUUUAGGGGCAGCUCAAGACCAUUUGUAGCAACGAAUUGACCAGCCAGCCACCCCUAUCAAACUGUUGCUACAAAUGGUUGGUUUGUAGAGAUAAUUGACCAGCCGUCUCUACAAAUUCGAUUUGUAGGUGUCAGUUGAUUUGUAUCUAUUUUUUGGAAAUCACAAAAUCAGGCAAAAAAUAGCAAAAAAAAAUUGUUAAUCAGUA